Molecule: RNA transcript, 2238 nt
Organism: Panonychus citri (citrus red mite)
Lineage: Eukaryota; Metazoa; Arthropoda; Arachnida; Trombidiformes; Tetranychidae
Gene: mRpS16
Gene name: probable 28S ribosomal protein S16, mitochondrial
Exons: 4
Source: RefSeq, a predicted model, not a curated record
GUUCUCAAUCUGAUGAACAAAAUGAAAUUUUGUUCUGUUGUUUUUAUUUUUUCUCAUGAUUUAAUUUAAUUGUUGUUCUUUUUGUGUUGAUUGUUGACUUUGAUUAAUUGUAAUUAUGAGACGUAAAUUCUUCUGGCCAUCGGGAUUAACCAUUAGGUUCGUUAGAGAAGGUUGUGUGAAUCGUCCUUUCUAUCAUCUUGCUGUUUUACCUUCUAAAAAAAGGGUCGGUCGAGUUCCCGAUGAAGUAAUUGGUUCGUUUGAUUUAUUUCCUAAUGAAACUAAUGAGAGAUUAUUUGCCGUUGAUAUUGAUCGAUUAAAUUAUUGGCUUGGUAAAGGUGCUAAACUAUCACCAGGAUCUGCAGCUUUAUUGGGUUAUGCUGGAAUAAUUGAACCUCACCAUGACUCUCUUUUAAUUGCUUGGAGGAAUAGGAUAGCCAAAGAAAAUGCGGAUGCACCAGAGAUUCAACAAAAGAAAAAGUCUUACAUCGAGGAUAUGGCCGUAAGAGGAAUUCUAACCUAAAGAUGAUACCAAACUCCUGGUAAUCUAAGGACGGACAAAAAUCCCUAUAUAUAUAAAACAUUUAUCAAACCCUAUGUUCAAAAUCAAUAUUGUUAAAGUACUGGUCAACCUAUGAACUUAUGGUCAAUCCCAAUUUAUCCCAUAUAAAUUUGAUACAAAGUUUGUAUUAUCCAAGACAAAAAAACACUUCUAUUGAGAUAAUAGUUUUUCCGUUUAAAAGUAGCCUUAGGAAUGGAAAGAGUUAUCUUGAUAAUGUAUAUUAGAUAAAGAGAUCACUUUUUCUCGCCCCAUGAUAAUUGUAACCACAAAGGAACUCGGAAACCAAACCAAGAAAGGAACCAAGAAAGAGACAAAAGGAUAUAAGUGAAUUCCCAUCAAAAAUUGAUCGCAACUAAAAUGGCAAAACUAUCACUUUGUGACUUGAAUAUUAUCUAAUGGUGAUGAAUAUAAACUACUAUUAACAGUUAUCAAGAUCCAACAACAACAACAACAACAACAAGGAGGGAAAAUACUCACAACCAUCACCAAAGAGUUACCAAAGGAAAAAAAAGAAGGCAAAUGGAAAAAAGAUAAAUGGAAAGUGGUGAAUCCAUUAUAGAAAGAGAUGAACCAUUGGAAAGGAUGAUAAGAAGAAGAAGAAAAAAAAGAAAGCAAUCAAAAUGAUGAGAAGAAGCAAAAAGAAAGAGAAAAAUAAGAGAAAAGGAAAAACUCGAAAGAUGAAGAUGCUAAUGGACUUUGCCUCUUAAAGUGAAUACUCAAUAACAAGGGACAAGGAUAAUUUGAAUGAACAGUUUAUUAAAUAAGUUGGAGAGCAACAUUUUCCCUGGUUAAAAGGAUCGACACCAAAGGAGGAAAAAGAUAACUAUUUAUCUUGAAACCACAUAACACUUAUGCAGAUAUACAUCUUCAUUCACCUUUACUAAAUUAUCGUCAUCACCAUAAUCAUCCAGUUGAUCAUCUCUUUCUCCAUCUCUGUCUAUUUCAUAUGUAAUCAUCUUUAUAUCAUUUCUCUCUGUAUAUAUAGUUUGAUCGUAAGGUGAUUCAUAUUCAUUUAGAUCUUUUUUUUCACUUUACUUCUCAUUUUUCAUAUCUAUCAUCUCUCAUCAUCUUUGUCUUCCUUUCUCUCACUCUCUUUCUCUCUAUUUCAUCAUCAAACUAAUGAUAUAAGUGGAAAUUCAUGUAACCAUAGGAAAAAAAAAGUUAUUAACAUCAAGAGAUUUGAGAAAGGGAAACAAAAAUGAUGAUAAUGAGAAUAAAGAUCAUCUCUCAUCCUGAUUUCCUUUUCCUCUUUAUCCUUUAACCUGAGAAAAAUGUCAAUUCACUUAUGACUCUUUUUUUUAUAUCUUCUAUUUUUCUUUCACUUCAUCAUCAUUUUCUUUCUUUGACCAUGAUGAUGAUGAUUAUGAUGAUAACGCAUAAAAAGCAUUAGAGCCAACAAAUUACCUGAAAAUGAGAAAGAUGAUGAAGAUGAUGAACCAUCAAAAACAGAAAACUAGACUGAACAUUAACCUUCCUCUUUAACAGUAGAUUAUCUUCUUGCUCUUCAUCAUCUUCUCACUUGAUUUAUAUCAAUCUAUUAAUCUCCCAUCCUUCUCACUUUCACCCAUCACCAACUAUCGUUAUGUUUUUUUCUCACUAUAUUUUGAUGUUCGAGAAAAAAAACAAUCUUAUUAAUCAAAACAUAUUCUGAUAUCACUUUUCCUUGACCAUUGGCUAUG